UGCUGGUCUGAGUGCUGUGGUUUCUACAAUUGAUCGAUCACAACCAGUUACAGAUUUCCUUGUUCCUUCUCCACUCCCACUGUUUCACUUGACUAGCCAAAA
Nomascus leucogenys (northern white-cheeked gibbon) is the source of this 102-nucleotide unclassified non-coding RNA. It matches the Rfam family "Y RNA". From Rfam's summary of the family: Y RNAs are components of the Ro ribonucleoprotein particle (Ro RNP), in association with Ro60 and La proteins. The Y RNAs and Ro60 and La proteins are well conserved, but the function of the Ro RNP is not known. The record is from Ensembl. NCBI's taxonomy places the organism in Eukaryota, Metazoa, Chordata, Mammalia, Primates, Hylobatidae.